Molecule: ribosomal RNA, 396 nt
Filed under: uncultured bacterium
Lineage: Bacteria
Description: partial 16S ribosomal RNA
Rfam family: Bacterial small subunit ribosomal RNA
Source: RNAcentral
AUACGUAGGGAGCGAGCGUUGUCCGGAAUUACUGGGUGUAAAGGGAGCGUAGGCGGGAGUGCAAGUCAGAUGUGAAAUACAUGGGCUCAACCCAUGGGCUGCAUUUGAAACUGCAAUUCUUGAGUGAAGUAGAGGUAAGCGGAAUUCCUGGUGUAGCGGUGAAAUGCGUAGAUAUCAGGAGGAACACCGGUGGCGAAGGCGGCUUACUGGGCUUUUACUGACGCUGAGGCUCGAAAGCGUGGGGAGCAAACAGGAUUAGAUACCCUGGUAGUCCACGCUGUAAACGAUGAUUACUAGGUGUGGGGGGACUGACCCCUUCCGUGCCGCAGUUAACACAAUAAGUAAUCCACCUGGGGAGUACGGCCGCAAGGUUGAAACUCAAAUGAAUUGACGGGG